This 301-nucleotide ribosomal RNA is filed under the name uncultured bacterium. Its description in RNAcentral is "partial 16S ribosomal RNA". It matches the Rfam family "Bacterial small subunit ribosomal RNA", at positions 509 to 807 of the family's 1533-position model. The record is from RNAcentral.
CAGCAGCCGCGGUAAUACGAGGGGGGCAAGCGUUGUUCGGAAUUAUUGGGCGUAAAGGGCUCGCAGGCGGUUUCUUAAGUCUGAUGUGAAAGCCCCCGGCUCGACCGGGGAGGGUCAUUGGAAACUGGGAAACUUGAGUGCAGAAGAGGAGAGUGGAAUUCCGCGUGUAGCGGUGAAAUGCGUAGAGAUGUGGAGGAACACCAGUGGCGAAGGCGACUCUCUGGUCUGUAACUGACGCUGAGGAGCGAAAGCGUGGGGAGCGAACAGGAUUAGAUACCCCCGUAGUCCCUGUCUCUUAUAC